This 253-nucleotide ribosomal RNA is filed under the name uncultured bacterium. RNAcentral describes it as "partial 16S ribosomal RNA". It matches the Rfam family "Bacterial small subunit ribosomal RNA", at positions 524 to 776 of the family's 1533-position model. The record is from RNAcentral.
UACGAAGGGUGCAAGCGUUACUCGGAAUUACUGGGCGUAAAGCGUGCGUAGGUGGUGAGUUAAGUCUGUCGUGAAAGCCCCGGGCUCAACCUGGGAAUGGCGAUGGAUACUGGCUCGCUAGAGUGCGGUAGAGGAGAGUGGAAUUCCCGGUGUAGCAGUGAAAUGUGUAGAGAUCGGGAGGAACAUCAGUUGCGAAGGCGGCCUGCUGGGCAGUUACUGACACUGAGGCGCGACAGCGUGGGGAGCAAACAGG